This 491-nucleotide ribosomal RNA is filed under the name uncultured bacterium. RNAcentral describes it as "partial 16S ribosomal RNA". It matches the Rfam family "Bacterial small subunit ribosomal RNA", at positions 29 to 507 of the family's 1533-position model. The record is from RNAcentral.
AGUGAACGCUGGCGGUAGGCCUAACACAUGCAAGUCGAACGGCAGCACAGUAAGAGCUUGCUCUUACGGGUGGCGAGUGGCGGACGGGUGAGGAAUACAUCGGAAUCUACUUUUUCGUGGGGGAUAACGUAGGGAAACUUACGCUAAUACCGCAUACGACCUACGGGUGAAAGCAGGGGAUCUUCGGACCUUGCGCGAUUGAAUGAGCCGAUGUCGGAUUAGCUAGUUGGCGGGGUAAAGGCCCACCAAGGCGACGAUCCGUAGCUGGUCUGAGAGGAUGAUCAGCCACACUGGAACUGAGACACGGUCCAGACUCCUACGGGAGGCAGCAGUGGGGAAUAUUGGACAAUGGCGCAAGCCUGAUCCAGCCAUACCGCGUGGGUGAAGAAGGCCUUCGGGUUAUAAAGCCCUUUUGUUGGGAAAGAAAAGCAGCAGGUUAAUACCCCGCUGUUCUGACGGUACCCAAAGAAUAAGCGCCGGCUAACUUCGUG